AUUUUAUAAUAUAUACCUUUCACCAUAGAAUGAGAAUUCACUAUUAAGACAAUUUACAAACAUAAAUUUAAAUGAAAAAAGAAGAAAAAUAUACUCAAACUAACAAAAAUCGUAAGUUUUUAUAGCAAAAACUGUAAUUAGUGUAAAUUAACCAGCAAAUAAAAUUACUCAAGUAUAUCCAAGAUUGGCGCCAAAAGUGCGAGAAUUUCACAUGACAAGAAAAAAAUUUCCAAUAUAAAGAAAUAUAUUGUUAAAGCUAAAACAACUUUCUUUCUUUCUUUUAAAUGAGAAAGUAAUUAAAAGAAAUAAAA
Molecule: long non-coding RNA, 311 nt
Filed under: Cryptosporidium parvum
Lineage: Eukaryota; Apicomplexa; Conoidasida; Eucoccidiorida; Cryptosporidiidae
Source: RNAcentral